This 1264-nucleotide long non-coding RNA is filed under the name Zea mays. RNAcentral's name for it is "long non-coding RNA (ZMAY_LNC004363)". Lineage: Eukaryota; Viridiplantae; Streptophyta; Magnoliopsida; Poales; Poaceae. The record is from RNAcentral.
CGACUUUAAGGAACAAAGCCAAGUGCAUCUCAUACAUGCGCCAAGAAGACAACAUAUAUAAUAACAGAGUGUAUAGAGAUAAAUGUCAUAAAACAUCAGAGUAAUUAUUACAUAGCGGAAGACUUAUUACAAAAUAAAAUAAUAAAGAUAAAACGAACUAAGGAUCGUCGGCGCCAAUGUCAACUGGGAAACGCCACCUAGAUCAGAUCGAACUCCUCAGUGUUAGGCGGCUCCUCCUGAACCACCUGAUCUUCUCCUGUGGGGGGGGGGUGUGAGACAGCAAGAGUGAGCUCACACAUGAUCAUAGCUCAACAAGUUGUGGGGAACCAGUGGACAUAAACUCACAAAGGUGUGAGUUCAUGUGAUGUGUAAGGCUAAUCAAUGAUAGGGGUUAAAGCUGAGCAUUGCUUUUAAGUAGUUGGUCAAAAUUUUAUUAGCAAUUACUAAGUGUAAGUAAAUACCAAACCAUAAGUAAAGUAAUAGAACAAAAUUAAUAACAAUCCCAUGCAAUGCAAAUGACCAAAUUGAAUUUAAGUUCCAUAAUUUAAACAUCAGAGAGUCCUGAGCUGCUCAUGACCGCGAGCACGGCUAGUAUACCAGUUUUACACUCUGCAGAGGUUGUACCCUUUACCCACAAGUCAUGCUACCCAUCUGCCAAGGGGUCGCGAAUCCCAUACACCUCUACCUAGGAAGCGCGGCAGGGCAACACUAUGAGGCCUUUACAAAGUUCCACUAGCUUCCGAAAACCCGCUACAGUUUAUAGGAAGUUCCAAUGCAGGGUUCCUGGCUGACCGCCAUCGCAGCAAAAUCAACCAGGGACCUCCCUACACUGACCACUCCCCUACUGCCCUUGCCCCUUUCGGGUAAGGUAGUCUUCCACUAGCUUUCCUAAUUAGUCAGCCAAGGGCGUCCCAUUAAACCCUUAUGGUGGCACGUGGUUCUCAAGUUAAGCUCUAUGUUCCAAUUAACAUUAAUGAUCUCAACAUGAACAUAAACAGAAUAACAAGAAUAAUUGGAACAUAGAUAUAAUAAAUGAUUAUCCCAAAACCAUGUAUAGCAAUAGCAAACUACCCAAGUGAUUCAGGGGUAAACAAGGUAAUGAGAUAAACAAUCUAGGGUGACCUAUUGGGUCCCAUCAAAAUUAACCUAUGCAUGAGUGAAUGAUAAUUAGAGAACAUUAUUGGGUAAAAAGUGGUCAAGGGCACAACUUGCCUUCAAUGAGCUCCUGCUCAGCUACUUCAACCUGCUGCUCACCAGGAUCCUC